CAGGGAUUGCCUCAGUAACGGCGAGUGAAGCGGCAAAAGCUCAAAUUUGAAAUCUAGCACUUUCAGUGUUCGAGUUGUAAUUUGAAGAAGGUAACUUUGGUUUUGGCUCUUGUCUAUGUUCCUUGGAACAGGACGUCACAGAGGGUGAGAAUCCCGUGCGAUGAGAUGCCCAAUUCCAUGUAAAGUGCUUUCGAAGAGUCGAGUUGUUUGGGAAUGCAGCUCUAAGUGGGUGGUAAAUUCCAUCUAAAGCUAAAUAUUGGCGAGAGACCGAUAGCGAACAAGUACAGUGAUGGAAAGAUGAAAAGAACUUUGAAAAGAGAGUGAAAAAGUACGUGAAAUUGUUGAAAGGGAAGGGCUUGAGAUCAGACUUGGUAUUUUGCGUUCCCUUCCUUUUUGGUUGGGUUCCUCGCAGUUUACUGGGCCAGCAUCGGUUUGGAUGGUAGGAUAAUGACAUUGGAAUGUAGCUUUACUUCGGUGAAGUGUUAUAGACUUUGUUGAUACUGCCUAUCUAGACCGAGGACUGCGUCUUUGACUAGGAUGCUGGCGUAAUGAUCUUAAGCCGCCCGUCUUGAAACACGGACCA
Molecule: ribosomal RNA, 583 nt
Filed under: Dujonia zeylanoides
Lineage: Eukaryota; Fungi; Ascomycota; Pichiomycetes; Serinales; Debaryomycetaceae
Description: [Candida] zeylanoides partial large subunit ribosomal RNA
Rfam family: Eukaryotic large subunit ribosomal RNA
Source: RNAcentral